CCAGACUCCACGGGAGGCAGCAGUGGGGAAUAUUGCACAAUGGGGGAAACCCUGAUGCAGCGACGCCGCGUGAGUGAAGAAGUAUUUCGGUAUGUCAAGCUCUAUCAGCAGGGAAGAAGUUGACGGUACCUGAGUAAGAAGCCCCGGCUAACUCCGUGCCAGCAGCCGCGGUAAUACGGAGGAUGCGAGCGUUAUCCGGAUUUAUUGGGUUUAAAGGGUGCGCAGGCGGCCUGUUAAGUCAGCGGUCAAAGCCGGGGGCUCAACCCCGGCCCGCCGUUGAAACUGGCAGUCUCGAGUUGGAGAGAAGUAUGCGGAAUGCGCGGUGUAGCGGUGAAAUGCAUAGAUAUCGCGCAGAACUCCGAUUGCGAAGGCAGCAUGCCGGCUCCACACUGACGCUGAAGCACGAAAGCGUGGGUAUCGAACAGGAUUAGAUACCCUAGUAAAA
Molecule: ribosomal RNA, 445 nt
Filed under: uncultured bacterium
Lineage: Bacteria
Description: bacterial SSU rRNA
Rfam family: Bacterial small subunit ribosomal RNA
Source: RNAcentral